CGAACAGGGCAAGCUCGUCGCGACCAAUGUCGAAGGUGUUAUUAUCAAAGGCUCCGGUCAUUGGCUGAUGGAAGAAGCGCCGGGCCAGGUGAUUCCGACGCUGGUGGAUUUUCUCAACCGCUAAUCGCGCAACCGGCAAAUCCUGCAAAAAUUUGCGUGAGCGGGCCGUCCGGAAACGGAACUUCUGUUGCGCUGCCAUGCGUAUCAUGUAGCCUUGGAUUUAUUCUAACCAGGGGCGCAUCAUGAUUUUAGGCAUGUCGUUAGCGGGUUUCACCGUCCUUCAUCUCAUCAUCAGCAUGAUCGCCAUCGGCCUGGGCUUCGUGGUGGCGGGUGGG
Molecule: unclassified non-coding RNA, 335 nt
Filed under: Hevea brasiliensis (rubber tree)
Lineage: Eukaryota; Viridiplantae; Streptophyta; Magnoliopsida; Malpighiales; Euphorbiaceae
Source: RNAcentral